RNAcentral lists this ribosomal RNA (536 nucleotides) under uncultured archaeon. RNAcentral describes it as "bacterial SSU rRNA". It matches the Rfam family "Archaeal small subunit ribosomal RNA", at positions 460 to 997 of the family's 1478-position model. The record is from RNAcentral.
AGCCGCCGCGGUAACACCGGCAGCUCUAGUGGUAGCAGUUUUAUGGGCCUAAAGCGUCCGUAGCCGGUUUAAUAAGUCUCUGGUGAAAUCCUGUAGCUUAACUGUGGGAAUUGCUGGAGAUACUAUUAGACUUGAGACCGGGAGAGGUUAGAGGUACUCCCAGGGUAGAGGUGAAAUUCUGUAAUCCUGGGAGGACCGCCUGUUGCGAAGGCGUCUAACUGGAACGGUUCUGACGGUGAGGGACGAAAGUUAGGGGCGCGAACCGGAUUAGAUACCCGGGUAGUCCUAACCGUAAACGAUGCGGACUUGGUGUUGGGGUGGCUUUGAGCUGCUCCAGUGCCGAAGGGAAGCUGUUAAGUCCGCCGCCUGGGAAGUACGGUCGCAAGACUGAAACUUAAGGAAUUGGCGGGGGAGCACCACAACGCGUGGAGCCUGCCGGUUUAAUUGGAUUCAACGCCGGACAUCUCACCAGAGGCGACAGCUGUAUGAUAGCCAGGCUGAUGACUUUGCUUGACUAGCUGAGGGGAGGUGCAUGG